This is a transfer RNA of Felis catus (domestic cat), 85 nucleotides long. It matches the Rfam family "tRNA". From Rfam's summary of the family: Transfer RNA (tRNA) molecules are approximately 80 nucleotides in length. Their secondary structure includes four short double-helical elements and three loops (D, anti-codon, and T loops). The record is from Rfam. NCBI's taxonomy places the organism in Eukaryota, Metazoa, Chordata, Mammalia, Carnivora, Felidae.
GCCUGGGUGGCUCAGUCGGUUGAGCGUCCGACUUCGGCUCAGGUCAUGAUCUCACGGUCUGUGAGUUCGAGCCCCGCAUCAGGCU